RNAcentral lists this long non-coding RNA (1312 nucleotides) under Marmota monax (woodchuck). The record is from RNAcentral. Lineage: Eukaryota; Metazoa; Chordata; Mammalia; Rodentia; Sciuridae.
CAGUGCCUGGCCCAUAGCAUGCUUUCAAAGCCCAGCUGCUGCUGUGGCAGGUGUUAAGUGGGAAAGUGAGUGGAAAAUGUAUUUGGGAUGGAAGUUCCCCCUUGUCAUCCUGUCCUGAUGGUUUAGACCAGAAAAUGAUAUCCAUUUUUUUUUUGUCCUAGGGAUUGAAUCCAGGGGUGUUUAACUCUGAGCCAUGUCCCCAGCCUUUUUUAAUAUUUUAUUUAGCGACAGGGUCUCACUGAGUUGCGAAGUGCCUUACUAAUCUGUUGAGGCUGGCUUUGAACUCGUGAUCCUCCUGCCUCAGCCUCCCGAGUUGCUGGGAUUAUAGGCGUGUGCCACCGCACCUGGCUUUCAUUUUUUUUUAAUAUCUAUUUUUUUAAUUGUAGGUGGACACAAUAUCUUUAUUUUGUUUUUAUGUGGUGCUGAGGAUCGAAUCCAGUGCCUCACGCAUACUAGGCGAGCACUCUACCACUGAGCCACAGUCCCAGCCCUACUUUUUUUAAAAAACUGGUAUUUUCAUUGGAUAAAAGACUGGUGAUGGUUGGCAAAUAUACAACAGAGUAAGUUUUUCAAGUGACUUUAGAAAACAUCUGGUUUAAUGUCCUUUAUUUUAGAGGUGGAAACUGAGGCCUGGGGAGGGAAAAUGAUUUCUUAGGCUCCCAGAGUGAGUCCCUAUUCAAGCUGGGAGGUAAGUUCCUCUACACAGGAGACUUCAACACUUCUCCAGAUUAAUUUCUCUGUGUGACUGUGACCUAAUUAUAGGCUUGAAAGUCAAAGGACAUAGAUUGCCUUUGGAAAAAACAACUACUACUCAAGUUGGCAAGCUUGGUACUAAGGCACCUAGAUUCACUGCUCAGGAGGGACAGCAGCCUUCAGUUUAACAAUCAGGCUUCAGAGCCAUGUAGCUAGUUAAUCAGGACCCAGGAUUGAGGUUCUCACCUUGAAUUCUGUCUCUGCCAUGGAUGCCUGAGCUGCAGGCAAUGUGCAUUUCCGGAUCAUUAGAAUCAUGGUGAUGACAUUGCAGGAACAAGAGAGCCUUUCUGCCCAGUUCCCAGGGAGGGAAAGUGACACCCAGAAAAAUAUUUGCCUCUUGGUUAACUAGUGCUGGAUUGAAAACCAGACCCAAAUUGCUGACUUCCCAACGAGGAAUCUACCAGAGACACUAUUCUAGUAGGACUCCCAUGGAUGACUUUCUUUCCCAAUAGGAAAGUUUUUAAUAAUAUUUCAGAAAAUUCCUCGACUCUGGCCCUUAGAAAUAUAGACUCUGUAGACACAGGAAAGGGGAUCCACCCAGAUUUGAGGACUCCAAUAC